GAGCCGGAGGGAAACCGAGUCUUAACCGGGCGUUAAGUUGCAGGGUAUAGACCCGAAACCCGGUGAUCUAGCCAUGGGCAGGUUGAAGGUUGGGUAACACUAACUGGAGGACCGAACCGACUAAUGUUGAAAAAUUAGCGGAUGACCUGUGGCUGGGGGUGAAAGGCCAAUCAAACCGGGAGAUAGCUGGUUCUCCCCGAAAGCUAUUUAGGUAGCGCCUCGUGAACUCAUCUCCGGGGGUAGAGCACUGUUUCGGCUAGGGGGCCAUCCCGGCUUACCAACCCGAUGCAAACUGCGAAUACCGGAGAAUGUUAUCACGGGAGACACACGGCGGGUGCUAACGUCCGUCGUGAAGAGGGAAACAACCCAGACCGCCAGCUAAGGUCCCAAAGUCAUGGUUAAGUGGGAAACGAUGUGGGAAGGCCCAGACAGCCAGGAUGUUGGCUUAGAAGCAGCCAUCAUUUAAAGAAAGCGUAAUAGCUCACUGGUCGAGUCGGCCUGCGCGGAAGAUGUAACGGGGCUAAACCAUGCACCGAAGCUGCGGCAGCGACGCUGAUGCGUUGUUGGGUAGGGGAGCGUUCUGUAAGCCUGCGAAGGUGGCCUGUGAGGGUUGCUGGAGGUAUCAGAAGUGCGAAUGCUGACAUAAGUAACGAUAAAGCGGGUGAAAAGCCCGCUCGCCGGAAGACCAAGGGUUCCUGUCCAACGUUAAUCGGGGCAGGGUGAGUCGACCCCUAAGGCGAGGCCGAAAGGCGUAGUCGAUGGGAAACGGGUUAAUAUUCCCGUACUUGGUGUUACUGCGAAGGGGGGACGGAGAAGGCUAUGUUGGCCGGGCGACGGUUGUCCCGGUUUAAGCGUGUAGGUGUGUGUUCCAGGUAAAUCCGGUUCACUUUAACACUGAGGCGUGAUGACGAGGCACUACGGUGCUGAAGCAACAAAUGCCCUGCUUCCAGGAAAAGCCUCUAAGCAUCAGGUAACAUCAAAUCGUACCCCAAACCGACACAGGUGGUCAGGUAGAGAAUACCAAGGCGCUUGAGAGAACUCGGGUGAAGGAACUAGGCAAAAUGGUGCCGUAACUUCGGGAGAAGGCACGCUGACACGUAGGUGAAGUGAUUUACUCAUGGAGCUGAAGUCAGUCGAAGAUACCAGCUGGCUGCAACUGUUUAUUAAAAACACAGCACUGUGCAAACACGAAAGUGGACGUAUACGGUGUGACGCCUGCCCGGUGCCGGAAGGUUAAUUGAUGGGGUCAGCGCAAGCGAAGCUCCUGAUCGAAGCCCCGGUAAACGGCGGCCGUAACUAUAACGGUCCUAAGGUAGCGAAAUUCCUUGUCGGGUAAGUUCCGACCUGCACGAAUGGCGUAAUGAUGGCCAGGCUGUCUCCACCCGAGACUCAGUGAAAUUGAACUCGCUGUGAAGAUGCAGUGUACCCGCGGCAAGACGGAAAGACCCCGUGAACCUUUACUAUAGCUUGACACUGAACAUUGAGCCUUGAUGUGUAGGAUAGGUGGGAGGCUUUGAAGUGUGGACGCCAGUCUGCAUGGAGCCGACCUUGAAAUACCACCCUUUAAUGUUUGAUGUUCUAACGUGGACCCGUGAUCCGGGUUGCGGACAGUGUCUGGUGGGUAGUUUGACUGGGGCGGUCUCCUCCUAAAGAGUAACGGAGGAGCACGAAGGUUGGCUAAUCCUGGUCGGACAUCAGGAGGUUAGUGCAAUGGCAUAAGCCAGCUUGACUGCGAGCGUGACGGCGCGAGCAGGUGCGAAAGCAGGUCAUAGUGAUCCGGUGGUUCUGAAUGGAAGGGCCAUCGCUCAACGGAUAAAAGGUACUCCGGGGAUAACAGGCUGAUACCGCCCAAGAGUUCAUAUCGACGGCGGUGUUUGGCACCUCGAUGUCGGCUCAUCACAUCCUGGGGCUGAAGUAGGUCCCAAGGGUAUGGCUGUUCGCCAUUUAAAGUGGUACGCGAGCUGGGUUUAGAACGUCGUGAGACAGUUCGGUCCCUAUCUGCCGUGGGCGCUGGAGAACUGAGGGGGGCUGCUCCUAGUACGAGAGGACCGGAGUGGACGCAUCACUGGUGUUCGGGUUGUCAUGCCAAUGGCACUGCCCGGUAGCUAAAUGCGGAAGAGAUAAGUGCUGAAAGCAUCUAAGCACGAAACUUGCCCCGAGAUGAGUUCUCCCUGAGACUUUAGGUCUCCUGAAGGAACGUUGAAGACGACGACGUUGAUAGGCCGGGUGUGUAAGCGCAGCGAUGCGUUGAGCUAACCGGUACUAAUGAACCGUGAGGCUUAACCUUACA
RNAcentral lists this ribosomal RNA (2290 nucleotides) under Salmonella enterica. RNAcentral describes it as "partial 23S ribosomal RNA". It matches the Rfam family "Bacterial large subunit ribosomal RNA", at positions 663 to 2925 of the family's 2925-position model. The record is from RNAcentral. Lineage: Bacteria; Pseudomonadati; Pseudomonadota; Gammaproteobacteria; Enterobacterales; Enterobacteriaceae.